GCCCUGAUGGUCUAGCGGUAUGAUUCUCCCUUAGGGUUGCGAAUAGCAUCACUACAAUGGGAGAGGUCCCAGGUUCGAUCCCUGGUUAGGGCC
Molecule: transfer RNA, 93 nt
Filed under: Colletotrichum higginsianum
Lineage: Eukaryota; Fungi; Ascomycota; Sordariomycetes; Glomerellales; Glomerellaceae
Description: tRNA CH063_16418
Source: RNAcentral